RNAcentral lists this long non-coding RNA (1029 nucleotides) under Homo sapiens (human). RNAcentral's name for it is "HSALNT0208116". Lineage: Eukaryota; Metazoa; Chordata; Mammalia; Primates; Hominidae. The record is from RNAcentral.
CCCGCUGGAGGGCGCUGCAGAGGUUCUGCGGCUCCCUGAGACCAGCAGAUUCCUGGUCUCCGGGUCCCUGGGUCCCGGACGUGUCCAUCAAGGCGUCCAUUAGGGCCAUCACCUAAUGGACAAGCAUCAGGAGGAUGUGGCUUCUGCGGGAGAGCUUCAAAGGGUGCCCUACUUGCCCCUCUUGGUAACCAUGACGUCAUGGAAAUGGGAGGGGACCGCCCCAGCCCCCAAACACCUGGAGGGAAGUGGGAGACUUUUUCCACUUCCUGUUCUACUUGUGGCUACUGACUCAAUGUCUGACCUGUUUAUUAAUUGCAAAAUAUAGCUCUAUGUGUGCUACCCAGAGAGGCCUCAGGCCUGUGUGUCUCUGUGUGAAAGGAGGCCUGCACUCCCCACCCCUCGCCGCGUUGCCCAGGUGGCCUUGACACAGACGCAGGGCGCUGGUGGUCCUGCAGCCUUCCGGCAGCCAGAAUGACAGCACUGGGUCUCCAUGUGCUUGCUCCCCCAGACUCAUCCCAGUCAGAAGCUCGUCUUCCCACACAUGGCUCACGGAGGUAGAUGGGUUUUAGAGUAGGACUCAUGGAGAAACUGAGGCGAACCCACAUAAAGUGACUGUUGGCUCUGGACCUCAGUGUGGUCACACAGUGAGGUCAGACUCCCAGGUACCCUGCGUGAUUUACCACAGUCCCUGUCCUCCAGGCUUUGUUGGAUAGAUGUGUGCCUGCCUGGGGGCUGCCCUGAGCAAGGGGCCACCACUCAGGCUUUCCUUGUUCUGAAGUUCUUGACAAGUUACUUUAGCUCUUGGCAAAACUGUGAAGCAUUGACUCACCUGACCACUUCCUCUACUAAUCCCCACUUUCCUUUCUCCUGUACUCCCCACUCCUCACACUCAGCUCCCCCCACCCAGAGCCUAACUGCAGGAGUCAUUCACUUAUUCAUUUAACGGCAUCUGUUGUGUGCCAGGCACUGUUCUAGUUCCUGGGGACACAUUGAUGACAAGGGACAUUCCCAUCCCACAGAGCACACAGG